RNAcentral lists this ribosomal RNA (433 nucleotides) under uncultured bacterium. Its description in RNAcentral is "partial 16S ribosomal RNA". It matches the Rfam family "Bacterial small subunit ribosomal RNA", at positions 29 to 507 of the family's 1533-position model. The record is from RNAcentral.
AACGAACGCUGGCGGCAGGCUUAACACAUGCAAGUCGAGCGAGACCUUCGGGUCUAGCGGCGGACGGGUGAGUAACGCGUGGGAACGUGCCCUUCUCUACGGAAUAGCCCCGGGAAACUGGGAGUAAUACCGUAUACGCCCUUUGGGGGAAAGAUUUAUCGGAGAAGGAUCGGCCCGCGUUGGAUUAGGUAGUUGGUGGGGUAAUGGCCCACCAAGCCGACGAUCCAUAGCUGGUUUGAGAGGAUGAUCAGCCACACUGGGACUGAGACACGGCCCAGACUCCUACGGGAGGCAGCAGUGGGGAAUCUUAGACAAUGGGGGCAACACUGAUCUAGCCAUGCCGCGUGAGUGAUGAAGGCCUUAGGGUUGUAAAGCUCUUUCAGCUGGGAAGAUAAUGACGGUACCGGCAGAAGAAGCCCCGGCUAACUCCGUG